This 468-nucleotide ribosomal RNA is filed under the name uncultured bacterium. RNAcentral describes it as "partial 16S ribosomal RNA". It matches the Rfam family "Bacterial small subunit ribosomal RNA", at positions 28 to 507 of the family's 1533-position model. The record is from RNAcentral.
GACGAACGCUGGCGGCGUGCUUAACACAUGCAAGUCGAACGGAAAGGCCAUGCUUUUGUGGGGUGCUCGAGUAGCGAACGGGUGAGUAACACGUGAGUAACCUGCCCUAGACUUUGGGAUAACUUCAGGAAACUGGGGCUAAUACCGGAUAGGAGCUCAUGCUGCAUGGUGGGGGUUGGAAAGUUUCGGCGGUUGGGGAUGGACUCGCGGCUUAUCAGCUUGUUGGUGGGGUAGUGGCUUACCAAGGCUAUGACGGGUAGCCGGCCUGAGAGGGUGACCGGCCACAUUGUGACUGAGAUACCGCCCAUACUCCUACUGGAGGCAUCAGUGGGGGAUUUUGCACACUGGGCGGAAUCCUUAUGCAGCAACUCCGCGUGCUGGAUGACUGCCUUCGGGUUGUAACCCGCUUUCGCCUGUAACGAAGCGUGUGUGACGGUAAUGGGUAAAGAAGCACCGGCUAACUACGUG